AAGGGCUUACAGCUUGUAAACUGCUUUUGUCAGAGAAGAAAAUCUUUCUGCGGAGAGGCCUGACGGUAUCUGACGAAUAAGCAUCGGCUAACUACGUGCCAGCAGCCGCGGUAAUACGUAGGAUGCAAGCGUUGUCCGGAUUUAUUGGGUUUAAAGGGUGCGUAGGUGGCUUAUUAAGUCGUGGGUGAAAGUCAACCGCUUAACGGUUGGAUUGCCUGCGAUACUGAUCAGCUUGAAUACGGUUGAGGUAACUGGAAUGGGUGGUGUAGCGGUGAAAUGCAUAGAUACCAUCCGGAACCCCAAUUGCGAAGGCAGGUUACUAAGCCGUAAUUGACACUGAGGCACGAAAGCGUGGGGAGCAAACAGGAUUAGAUACCCUGGUAGUCCACGCCGUAAACGAUGAUGACUAGCUGUUAGCCUGUAUAGGUUAGUGGCUUAGGGAAACCGUUAAGUCAUCCACCUGGGGAGUACGUCGGC
Molecule: ribosomal RNA, 477 nt
Filed under: uncultured bacterium
Lineage: Bacteria
Description: bacterial SSU rRNA
Rfam family: Bacterial small subunit ribosomal RNA
Source: RNAcentral